ACCAACAACAACAACAACAACCUCUACAAAACCCUAACUGCACAAGCUUCAUAACUCUGUCUUUCUUUUCUUUUAGUUUUUUUUUUUUAAAAAAAAAAAAAACAAAAGGAAAAGAACUUGCUUUUUUCAUUAACUUGAAAAAUUAAAUGUUUGAGCCAUGGACAUAGCCCCAACAACAACUUCCACCACCAACACCAACACCAACAUCAACACCAACACAAAUACUCCAACUACAAAAUCACCUGACCAAGAAACUGAAACUCCAACUCGGAUCCAACCACCAAAGCCUUUAUCUUUCACAAACGGUGUCCUCAAGCGGCAUCACCACCACCACCACCACCAUCACCACCUUUCGGCUCCACCUCCUGUUGUCAUAACCUACAAAGAAUGUCUCAAGAACCACGCAGCUACUUUAGGUGGUCAUGCUCUAGAUGGUUGCGGAGAGUUCAUGCCUUCGCCUACAGCUACUCACACCGACCCAACUUCUUUAAAGUGCGCUGCCUGCGGUUGUCAUAGGAAUUUUCACCGCCGGGAGCCGGAAGAUUCUCCCCCUCCUCAUCAUCCUCAUCCUCAUCAUCAUCCAGUUAAUACCACCACAACAAUUGAGUACCAGCCACACCACCGUCACCACCCUCCACCUCCACCUCCGCAAGCAGCGCAACCAUAUCGAAGCCCCAAUUCAGCUUCUCCACCACCGAUCUCGUCUUCAUAUCCAUCUGCACCCCACAUGCUGCUGGCGCUCUCAGGAGGCGUGAAUGAAAAUUCAGGUCUGCAUAUAGGUGGUGGUGGUGGUGGUUCUUCGGGGAGGAAAAGAUUCAGAACAAAGUUUAGCCAGACCCAGAAAGAAAGAAUGCAUGAGUUCGCGGAGCGAGUUGGAUGGAAGAUGCAGAAAAGGGAUGAAGAAUUGGUUCAGGAAUUUUGCAACGAAGUUGGUGUUGAC
This 940-nucleotide long non-coding RNA is filed under the name Ricinus communis (castor bean). Its description in RNAcentral is "long non-coding RNA (RCOM_LNC003153)". Lineage: Eukaryota; Viridiplantae; Streptophyta; Magnoliopsida; Malpighiales; Euphorbiaceae. The record is from RNAcentral.